Long non-coding RNA from Brassica rapa (field mustard), 3821 nucleotides. RefSeq lists it as uncharacterized. The record is from RefSeq and is a predicted model, not a curated record. NCBI's taxonomy places the organism in Eukaryota, Viridiplantae, Streptophyta, Magnoliopsida, Brassicales, Brassicaceae.
GUGUUAGCAAAAAGGAAAGCGAAACCGUAAUGAACCGGAGAAGAAACUGAAAGUUUGUUUCCUUUUAACUUAAAUCAAUUUUUGUUUCUUCAGUGCUCAUGUUUAUGUGCAUGUCAGGGACGAAACUUUCUGUGUUCAAGACGAGUUUGUGGAGGGUGAUUUGACUUCCUUUGCUGAUAUGAAAAGGGUGUGGCUAUCCAGAAAGUUUUCUUAUGUUUAUGAAGCACUUCCUAGCUCCAACUUAGUGUUUUUUCAUUCAGUCAUUACUUUCCCAUGCCAUUGGUAAGUUUAGGUCUAACACAGAGAUUUUUGGAACCCUUAUAACUAGUUACCCUUUGCCGUUUGUAUUCACAUGGUGCUUGUUAUUUAGCUAAGCCUUAUGUCUACAGGCACAUGGUUUGUGUUGAUGGAGACUUGCCUUCAUGAGAUCCAACCUUUCAAACCCAAGUUCUGGAUUUGUAACUCAAUUCGUAAAGUGUUUACAAUCUGGUGAUUGCUUACAUGACAAGGUCGAUCCUUUUUAACUAGUUUUCUUUCUUCAAGCCUAGAAAGUGAAAGCUUCUGUGAUGUGAUUCAUUGAGGGAUCUUAUAGUUGAUGCAAACGACAAAGGUGUGGAGAUAGCUACUGCUGGUGGUGAAACUAAUGCUUGACAGAAAGGUGUUUAUAUUUGGAGCUGUGGAUUUUGAUGAAGCGUGUACAACCAAGAAAAUUCAUCUAUCGAUAGAGCUACGGAACGCACUUGUGCGGUGUACCUAUACAAAGUAUGUCAUUUUGUCCCUUAAGUUACAAAUCGUGAUUUAAUAUAACCUUGUAAGUGAUAUGAUUCUCAUCUUGAUUUGGACAUAUUAACCUCUGACACCAAGAUUGAGCUGACUUAGCCAAUGCAAUCACCGGUCAAAUGUUUUUUAUGUAUGCCCGCUAAUGAAAUAGAUAUGGCAAUUACAUUUAGGUUUUGAGUCGAUUUUUCAUCCUUUUCUAGUAAUACUGGAAGUCAGGUUGUGUUUAACAACUACACACAUCUCAAAAAAAAUCAAAGAGAGCAAGAUGUUGAUGAGGAGAAUAUCCAUCAAACGAUAAAGGCAUUCAUUAUAAAAAAAAAAGUUUUUUUCGGAUGAAUAAAUUUAAUAUUCAUUCAAAAAGUUGAUUUGGAGAAUAUGAUAGUUUUUUGUGAAAUUUAGUAUCUAACAAUGGGGAAUUAAGGAUGUAAAUUAGGGAUGAGGUUUUUUUUACUAUUUGGACAUAUAUUAUGUCAUAUAUUCUCUUGAGUAUUUGUUAUAUUUGCUGUAUUUUCUAAGAGCUGAGUAACAGAAUAUAGCCAUUGUCUUGUUGGAAGCUAAAACCAAAGAACUAACCAUGGAUUAUAGAUGUUGCUGACACAAAAUAAUUAGAUUAGCAAUUGAUGUUGUACUUUAAGAUAAAGGAUAUACAAUAGCAUUGUUCUUUUCUAGUAGAUUAGAUGCACCAGAAUUGCUGAUAUUUUUAAAGUAAUAGUUUUUGUUAUAUUUAGUUGAACACGUCAUACGUAUGUAUGUGGUGUGUAUUUUGUCAAUAUUAUAAAAACAAUUAAACUAAAAGAGGAGUUUAUGUGGCUGAUUUGGACAAAAGUGACUAUGAUGAUUGUAUAUCUUCAGAUAAUAUGGGACCCGGUUAAGGGGGUUGGUGAGAUGAGUGGUGUUUGCUGGAUCUUUGCCACUGUGGUUGUUGCCUUGGUGGUCCUUUUACCGAGGGCCCACACAUUGAAUCCCCAAUAUUUAUUUUAUUUCUUGUUGUUUUUAUUUAAUUUAAUCCUAAUAGUAAAAAAAUUAGAACUUUAAAUAAAAUUAAAUAUAAAAUACGAGAAGUAAUAUAUUAGGAUUAAAAAUAUUUUAGCAAUAGUUGACAAAAAAAAAUAUUUUAGCAAUAAAAAUAUAAAAUAUGAAAAUGAUAUUCAUGAAUAAUCAUAUAAAUAAUUAUAUUUUAACUGGUUCAAAUUUGAUAUUAAAUUUAGUUUAUAUAUCUAAGUUAUAUUAAAUCAUAUCAUAUCAUUUAGAACUCUAUAUUAAUGAUUUGUCGAAAAAAAAAAUAUUAACGAAGAUGUUCGAUGGUGAUCUUGUUUUUUUGCUUAGUCAAAUAUGGCGAGCCUAAGAGCAUGAACAUCCCAAGUUUUUUAGAGAGGUUUUUGAUAAAAUACGGGUCUCACUGAUGUGUGGGUCUCACAAAAAUUUUAAAAACUAAUUCCCAAAAUCACCAAAUAAGGAUCGGUAAUUGGAGAGUUUUUGCACUGUUUGCGAAUCCUACCGACAUGUGGCAACCUGCGAUUAGUUUUUUUUUUUUUUUUAGAAAACAAAAAAAAAAUUCUUAAGGACCCUUUGCCGAUAAUCUUGGUCUAAUAGAUUUCACUCGUGGUGCAGAGUGAAGAAAAUAAUAGGGUUGAAGAGUAAUUAUAUACUCCUAGUAAAUAAUCUUUUACGCAGCCUUUCACUAUUUUAAUGAUGCUACAGGUAUAGAGUUUGAUUUGUCAACUUUGACUCCCAUUUCGCAACAAGAAACCGCGUUUUCGUUAAGAGUCCUGUUUUAUGAAGAGUCAAUACAUAAUUUUAAAUGUGGAAACUGAUGGUUGAUAAUAUAUAACGUAAUGAAGUUUGUUGUUGAGUAACUCGUCUUUGCGAGCCCAUCUCUUUGUAAGCCUAUCAUCAUGUUAAGUAUUUGUUAAGCUCAAGAAAAUCCAGAUGCUUAAUGUCUGAAAUUAAGAUUAAGAGACGACUUAGAUACUAAAGACGCUACAGAAGAGAAAGAUGUCACCGUGAAGGGGCUAGUCUCACUAAUUUUGUUGGAAGAAACAAUGAUGCUCGUAUCUUUUUUAUUUUAUACUCCCUCUGUUCUUUAAAUAUAUAUUUUUUAAAAACAAAAUUUGUUUUAAAAAGAUAUAUUUUUUAUAUUUUUAAUAAAUUAAUUAAUAAAAAAUUAUAUUUUUACAAUUGUGUUAAAUAAAAUCUCAUUGGUUAAAAUUUAUUGAGAAUAGUUAAUUAAGAAAAAUAAUAUAUUGGAAACUACAAUUUUAAAUUAUUUCUUAAUAAAUGUGAAAAAACUGGAUUUUUUACGAACGGAGAGAGUAUUAAUCAGAAUCUCCCUUUUCAGUUCUGUUUAAUGCAUUCUGUUCAUUUCUUGCUAUUCUUAUCAAAAAAGUUAAAUCGAAAGAAAAUGUGUUCCUCGAAUAGAAUACUACACCAGAUCAUGCGUCCACAUUCCUGUUGAGAGGAAUUUAAAACGUUAGAUGGUAUAUUCAACUUACAUGGUGAUGUUGUAAAAAUGAUGUGUUGAUUGUUCUAAAAAUUUAGCUCAAUGCAUGGUGUUUUCCAGUUUAUUUUCUUUUUCCUUAACUAUUUUCUUAUUAGUUACAUGUUCAGUGAAAUAUCUCGGGAAAAAUAUAUGUAAAUAAGUGCCAAAGUUAUGAUUGUAGUUUCCUAUUGGAGUCAUCGCCUACUACAAUAAUGAGAAAGAGCAUGUACACAUGCAACUGUGCAAGCGUUUGAAUGAACCCAUCUUACGAACCCAUUACUUCUUUGAACCACAUUACAUAGCUUAGUAUAAAGAUCCUUUAAAUUUCCGUGUUCAGUUGACUUGCAUUAGCUAUAUUUAUGUAUUUAAAAAAAAAUAUUUAUGUUUAUAUCUCUAUAAAAUGUUAGUUAUUUGUUUAUCGGCUACAUGUUAGCAGCAAUUAAACUUUUGUUGGUCAUUUAUUUAGGUGGAACUAAUUUUGCCAUCUAUAUCACUAAACUAGCUCAGAAAAAAGUUUCAAGAAAAAAAAAACUAGCUUAGAAAAGCACUUGUCUUUUUUACU